CGGCCCAGCAAGCCCCAAAGUGCAAAUUUGGAGAAGAACUCUGUUCCUGGGCCU
RNAcentral lists this transfer RNA (54 nucleotides) under Acanthosaura lepidogaster. RNAcentral's name for it is "tRNA-Cys". The record is from RNAcentral. Lineage: Eukaryota; Metazoa; Chordata; Lepidosauria; Squamata; Agamidae.